UUCCUACGGGGGGCAGCAGUGGGGAAUAUUGGACAAUGGGCGCAAGCCUGAUCCAGCCAUGCCGCGUGAGUGACGAAGGUCUUCGGAUUGUAAAGCUCUUUUGGCGGGGACGAUAAUGACGGUACCCGCAGAAUAAGCCCCGGCUAACUUCGUGCCAGCAGCCGCGGUAAUACGAAGGGGGCUAGCGUUGUUCGGAAUUACUGGGCGUAAAGCGCACGUAGGCGGAUUUGUAAGUCAGGGGUGAAAUCCCGGGGCUCAACCUCGGAACUGCCUUUGAUACUGCAAGUCUUGAGUCCGGAAGAGGUGAGUGGAAUUCCUAGUGUAGAGGUGAAAUUCGUAGAUAUUAGGAAGAACACCAGUGGCGAAGGCGGCUCACUGGUCCGGUACUGACGCUGAGGUGCGAAAGCGUGGGGAGCAAACAGGAUUAGAUACCCGGGUAGUCC
RNAcentral lists this ribosomal RNA (443 nucleotides) under uncultured Hyphomicrobiaceae bacterium. RNAcentral's name for it is "bacterial SSU rRNA". It matches the Rfam family "Bacterial small subunit ribosomal RNA", at positions 336 to 796 of the family's 1533-position model. The record is from RNAcentral. Lineage: Bacteria; Pseudomonadati; Pseudomonadota; Alphaproteobacteria; Hyphomicrobiales; Hyphomicrobiaceae.